This 433-nucleotide ribosomal RNA is filed under the name uncultured bacterium. RNAcentral describes it as "partial 16S ribosomal RNA". It matches the Rfam family "Bacterial small subunit ribosomal RNA", at positions 29 to 507 of the family's 1533-position model. The record is from RNAcentral.
AACGAACGCUGGCGGCAUGCCUAACACAUGCAAGUCGAACGAGACCUUCGGGUCUAGUGGCGCACGGGUGCGUAACGCGUGGGAACCUGCCCUUAGGUUCGGAAUAACUCCCCGAAAGGGGUGCUAAUACCGGAUAAUGUCUUCGGACCGAAGAUUUAUCGCCUUUGGAUGGGCCCGCGUUGGAUUAGCUAGUUGGUAGGGUAAAAGCCUACCAAGGCGACGAUCCAUAGCUGGUCUGAGAGGAUGAUCAGCCACACUGGGACUGAGACACAGCCCAGACUCCUACGGGAGGCAGCAGUGGGGAAUAUUGGACAAUGGGCGAAAGCCUGAUCCAGCAAUGCCGCGUGAGUGAUGAAGGCCUUAGGGUUGUAAAGCUCUUAUACCCGGGAUGAUAAUGACAGUACCGGGAGAAUAAGCUCCGGCUAACUCCGUG